This 24-nucleotide unclassified non-coding RNA is filed under the name Mus musculus (house mouse). RNAcentral describes it as "oocyte_clustered_small_RNA2134". The record is from RNAcentral. Lineage: Eukaryota; Metazoa; Chordata; Mammalia; Rodentia; Muridae.
UAUAACCACAAACCGGUAGGGAAC